GACGAACGCUGGCGGCGUGCCUAAUACAUGCAAGUCGAACGCUUUUUCUUUCACCGGAGCUUGCUCCACCGAAAGAAGAAGAGUGGCGAACGGGUGAGUAACACGUGGGUAACCUGCCCAUCAGAAGGGGAUAACACUUGGAAACAGGUGCUAAUACCGUAUAAAACUAUUUUCCGCAUGGAAGAAAGUUGAAAGGCGCUUUUGCGUCACUGAUGGAUGGACCCGGGGUGCAUUAGCUAGUUGGUGAGGUAACGGCUCACCAAGGCAACGAUGCAUAGCCGACCUGAGAGGGUGAUCGGCCACACUGGGACUGAGACACGGCCCAGACUCCUACGGGAGGCAGCAGUAGGGAAUCUUCGGCAAUGGACGAAAGUCUGACCGAGCAACGCCGCGUGAGUGAAGAAGGUUUUCGGAUCGUAAAACUCUGUUGUUAGAGAAGAACAAGGAUGAGAGUAAAACGUUCAUCCCUUGACGGUAUCUAACCAGAAAGCCACGGCUAACUACGUGCCAGCCGCCGCCGUAA
This 523-nucleotide ribosomal RNA is filed under the name uncultured bacterium. RNAcentral's name for it is "partial 16S ribosomal RNA". It matches the Rfam family "Bacterial small subunit ribosomal RNA", at positions 28 to 523 of the family's 1533-position model. The record is from RNAcentral.